AACCCUGGAACAGCUGGAAAGCCAAGAAGGUUGCAGUUCAGAAAAGUGGGAGGCUUAGAGGGAAAAAAAGAAAAAGGCAUUGCAGAGAAGCUUCUUUUCCAGCAAAAGGCUUUUGAGGACCUGUCCAGAUAGCCAUGAAAGAAGAUGGGAUAUGAGUGGUGAAAUCUGCCUAGAACAGUGGUGAGUGAAGAAAUGUUCUUUUCCUUGGGGAAGGCAUAUUCUGUCUGGAAGUUCUUCUCAGGCUCCAGAUAGACAAUUAAGAACAGGAAGUGACUGCUGAAACUGGAGGAAUUUCCAAAAGCAGAACAUAAUUACUUGAAACUGAAUUAAACCAUAAUGUCCUUAUGAAGAACAACCGUUAAUAAUAAGUGGUCAGAAACAUUGGCUUAACAUAUCUGAAAGGUGGAACUUCCAGCCACGGAUUACUCAUUGCCACAAUGCUGUGGUCUUCAUUCAGAAUGAAAAGGGUUAUGGAACUACAUUCAGAAACUGUAGUAUUGUUUUAGUCCAAAUGUAGAUACUAAUAAAUCUUUGUCCUGAUUUGAAACUUUCA
Alligator mississippiensis (American alligator) is the source of this 553-nucleotide long non-coding RNA. RefSeq lists it as uncharacterized. NCBI's taxonomy places the organism in Eukaryota, Metazoa, Chordata, Crocodylia, Alligatoridae. The record is from RefSeq and is a predicted model, not a curated record. The transcript has 3 exons.